GUGCUUGCUUUGGAAGCACAUAUACUAAAAUUGGAAGGAUACAGAGAAGAUUAGCAUGGCCCCUGCACAAGGAUGACAUGCAAAUUCGUGCAGCCUUCCAUAUUUAA
Arvicola amphibius (Eurasian water vole) is the source of this 107-nucleotide small nuclear RNA. The record is from RefSeq and is a predicted model, not a curated record. NCBI's taxonomy places the organism in Eukaryota, Metazoa, Chordata, Mammalia, Rodentia, Cricetidae.